RNAcentral lists this non-coding RNA (107 nucleotides) under Candidatus Fimenecus excrementavium. RNAcentral describes it as "FMN riboswitch (RFN element)". It matches the Rfam family "FMN riboswitch aptamer (RFN element)". Rfam says of the family: The RFN element is a highly conserved domain that is found frequently in the 5'-untranslated regions of prokaryotic mRNAs that encode for flavin mononucleotide (FMN) biosynthesis and transport proteins. This element is a metabolite-dependent riboswitch that directly binds FMN in the absence of proteins. The record is from RNAcentral. Lineage: Bacteria; Bacillati; Bacillota; Clostridia.
UGUCUUCAAGGCGGGGUGCAAGUCCCCACCGGUGGUUAAAGUCCACAAGCUUUCGCUGAUCGGGUGAAAUUCCCGAACCGACGGUAUAGUCCGGAUGAAAGAAGAUG